Long non-coding RNA from Haemorhous mexicanus (house finch), 1988 nucleotides. RefSeq lists it as uncharacterized. The record is from RefSeq and is a predicted model, not a curated record. The transcript has 3 exons. NCBI's taxonomy places the organism in Eukaryota, Metazoa, Chordata, Aves, Passeriformes, Fringillidae.
AGCAGGGAAUACUGGACUGGACAUGACCUCAGGUGUGCCCAGAUGGGGAAGAGGCCACUGGACCCUGGGCUGUGCCAGCUCUGGGCCCCUCCUGCCAGGAGAGACCUGGAGGGGCUGGAGCCUGUCCAGGGAAGGGAAUGGAGCUGGGAAGGGAAUGGAGCCCCAGGAGAGGCUGAGGGAGCUGGGAAGGGGCUCAGCCUGGAGAAAAGGAGGCUCAGGGGGGACCUUGUGGCUCUGCACAACUCCCUGACAGGAGGGGACAGCCAGGGGGGUUCAGGCUCUGCUCCCAGGGAACAGGGACAGGACAAGGGGAAAUGGCCUCAGGCUGGGCCAGGGCAGGCUCAGGUUGGACAUCAGGAGGAAUUUGUGCAUGUGAAGGGUGGUCAGGCCUUGGCAGGGGCUGCCCAGGGAGGUGGAGAUGUCCAGGGAAGGGAAGGCCUGGAUGUGACACUCGUGCUCUGGGCUGGGGACAAGGUGGGGAUUUGGCACAGCCUGGCCUGGAGGUCUUUUCCAACAUGAAGGAUUCUGUGAUUCUGUGUAUUUAUUUGAGUUCUCGUGCCCUGAUGAUGACAUCAGGGAAAAAAAUCAAAAAAAAAGCCAGAGGAGUAUCUGGAGUUCAGAGCUCCUGCUCUGGUGUCCAGGGUGCUUGGAGCACAGAACACGCUGUGGACACCCCUGCUAAGAGGACAACGUUGUAGGGCAGCAGGUGGAGCAAGUUCAACCUUUUCUGUUCCUCCUCAGACUCUGCCCUGAGCAUCUGGGGCUGUUUAACAGCUCCCUUGGGGCUCUUGUCCUUGCACAAGUUUGGGUUCCAGACACUCACAAAGCAGGGGAGCUGGAGGUGUCCAGAGACUGGGAGGGUCUGUGCUGUGUGGGAGCUCAUCCUUCAUGGAAUGGUGGUCCCAGAACCUCCUCAGAUGGCCUGGCCUGUGCCCACGCCCAGCAGCAGAGCCCCCAGCCCUGCCUUGGCUGGGGAAGGAGCUGGAGAACACAGAGCAGCUUGUUCCCAGUGGCCCUGGGAUGACAAAGGCCCUUCCAUCCCCACGGCACCACGGGCUGGGCCCUGCUCUGUGAGGCUGUGGAUCAGUGUCCUCUGGGGAUCAGGACAGAAGAUCCUGGGAAGGAUGUGGGAGCUGUUCCACCUCUGCCUGGACAUCUCCAAAUCUCCCAGUCCUGCAGCAAUGGUCUCUUGAUUGAGCCACCAAGACCAAAGUUGUCUUUGUCCUUGGCCAGGCAUCUCCUGAGGAAUUGCUUCCCUCAUGGGAUAACCUUUAACAAUUUGACACAAGGGCCAGCCUUACACAGCAGACAGAAAACAUUUUGUCUUGCUUGCAGAGGGAUGUGUGAGAUUCUCAGGAGGAAUUUCUGCAUGGAAAGGGUGCUCAGGCCUUGGCAGGGGCUGCCCAGGGAGGUUUGGAGUGUCUGGAGGUGUCCAAGGAAGGCCUGGACAUGACACUCAGUGCUCUGGGCUGGUGACAAGGUGGGGAUUGGGCACAGCUUGGACUGGAAGAUCUGGGAGGGUUUUUCCAGCCUCAGGAAUUCUGAGAUUCUGUGUGGAAGCACGUCCUCUCCAGGAUCCCAAAGAUAACCUUCCUCGAAGUGUUGAAGUCCAUGAGCAAGCUGCCUGUGACAGAAGGUCCUUGCAAACAGGGGUGUGAACCUCCAGAGCUGACACAGUGUUCCUGGAGCCCCCUGGAGCGUGGUUCCCAGCUGGGCUCAGUGGCAGUGCCUGUGCCAUGGAGCUCCCCACGGGCACUGGAGCUCUCCCCUUCUCUCUGCUCAGUCACAGAGGAAGUGUUUGUGCACUGCUCGAGCAAAGAGCUAAAAAUAACCCCCUGUGUGUGCUGUGUCAGCUCUGCAGCAGAGCCACUGCCGGGGCUCAGGGGACAGGGACACAGGCCAGGGCCCCACUGCCAGCAGGGACAGCAGCCUGCACAGCCAGCAGGGUGGGAAACUAAAACACCAAAUACACCCAGCCCUGUGUCAGA